RNAcentral lists this ribosomal RNA (717 nucleotides) under uncultured Solimonas sp. RNAcentral describes it as "bacterial SSU rRNA". It matches the Rfam family "Bacterial small subunit ribosomal RNA", at positions 46 to 767 of the family's 1533-position model. The record is from RNAcentral. Lineage: Bacteria; Pseudomonadati; Pseudomonadota; Gammaproteobacteria; Nevskiales; Nevskiaceae.
GCCUAACACAUGCAAGUCGCGCGGGCAGUAGCAAUACUGUUAGCGGCGGACGGGUGAGGAACACAUAGGAAUCUGCCUCAGAGCGGGGGAUAGCCCAGGGAAACUUGGAGCAAUACCGCAUGAUGUCGCAAGACCAAAGCUGGGGACCGCAAGGCCUAGCACUCUGAGAGGAGCCUAUGUCUGAUUAGCUAGUUGGUAGGGUAAAGGCAUACCAAGGCGACGAUCAGUAACUGGUCUGAGAGGACGAUCAGUCACACCGGAACUGAGACACGGUCCGGACUCCUACGGGAGGCAGCAGUGGGGAAUAUUGGACAAUGGGCGCAAGCCUGAUCCAGCAAUGCCGCGUGUGUGAAGAAGGCCUUCGGGUUGUAAAGCACUUUAAGCAGGGAAGAAAAAACUCGGUCUAAUACAUCGAGUCUUGACGGUACCUGAAGAAUAAGCACCGGCUAACUCUGUGCCAGCAGCCGCGGUAAUACAGAGGGUGCUAGCGUUAAUCGGAUUUACUGGGCGUAAAGCGUGUGUAGGUGGUUAUUCAAGUCAGUUGUGAAAUCCCUGGGCUUAACCUGGGAACUGCUUCUGAGACUGAAUGACUAGAGUACGGUAGAGGGUGGUGGAAUUUCCGGUGUAGCGGUGAAAUGCGUAGAUAUCGGAAGGAACAUCAAUGGCGAAGGCAGCCACCUGGGCCUGUACUGACACUGAGACACGAAAGCGUGGGGA